UAGGGAAUCUUCGGCAAUGGGGGGAACCCUGACCGAGCAACGCCGCGUGAGUGAAGAAGGUUUUCGGAUCGUAAAGCUCUGUUGUUAAGGAAGAACGAGUGUGAGAAUGGAAAGUUCAUACUGUGACGGUACUUAACCAGAAAGGGACGGCUAACUACGUGCCAGCAGCCGCGGUAAUACGUAGGUGGCAAGCGUUGUCCGGAUUUAUUGGGCGUAAAGCGAGCGCAGGCGGUCAAUUAAGUCUGAUGUGAAAGCCCCCGGCUCAACCGGGGAGGGUCAUUGGAAACUGGUUGACUUGAGUGCAGAAGAGGAGAGUGGAAUUCCAUGUGUAGCGGUGAAAUGCGUAGAUAUAUGGAGGAACACCAGUGGCGAAGGCGACUCUCUGGUCUGUAACUGACGCUGAGGCUCGAAAGCGUGGGUAGCAAACAGG
This 430-nucleotide ribosomal RNA is filed under the name Bacteroidota bacterium. Its description in RNAcentral is "Bacteroidetes bacterium partial 16S ribosomal RNA". It matches the Rfam family "Bacterial small subunit ribosomal RNA", at positions 355 to 776 of the family's 1533-position model. Lineage: Bacteria; Pseudomonadati; Bacteroidota. The record is from RNAcentral.